ACAGGAAGAAACAACAGGAACACAUAUAGCUGGAGUGCAGAUGGGAUCUGUGCUACUUACGCUAGCCAUGGGAUGAUUAGAACAAGAUAAGAGACAUGAGGAAGACUUCUUCAAGGAGGUGCUCAAGCCAUGUUUUGGAAAAGAGAACUCAAGGUCUGGCAGGGAGAAAGGAGCAAGAGCAGACUUUGAGUCUUUGCUUCAGAUGCAGAUCAAGAUGUGGCAACCUGUUGUGGAGAACCGGGUCCCUUGAGCCUGUGCUGUCUCUUUUUUUCUGGUGGCUUUGUCAUUUGGAACAAUGCAUAAUGGGCUGGAGGCUGAGAAACUCUGAGCUGAGGGCAAGUAGAGCUGUGGCUGUCUGGCGCCACUGUAAUGCUGUCUCCUCCUCUGAGUUCAUCCCGGAAACAUUUUCUCCCAUAAGACAUGCGCAGGUCUUACGUUUACAUGUUUCACUGAAAGAAAUUUGAUUCCACUGAUGGGAUGACAAGGAAGACUGGAGAAACCUAAUCCUAGGUGCUGCCAUUGGG
RNAcentral lists this long non-coding RNA (524 nucleotides) under Pongo abelii (Sumatran orangutan). Its description in RNAcentral is "lincRNA". Lineage: Eukaryota; Metazoa; Chordata; Mammalia; Primates; Hominidae. The record is from RNAcentral.